CCGGGCAGCUAUACAUGCAGUCGAGCGAAUGGAUUAGAGAGCUUGCUCUCAUGAAGUUAGCGGCGGACGGGUGAGUAACACGUGGGUAACCUGCCCAUAAGACUGGGAUAACUCCGGGAAACCGGGGCUAAUACCGGAUAACAUUUUGAACUGCAUGGUUCGAAAUUGAAAGGCGGCUUCGGCUGUCACUUAUGGAUGGACCCGCGUCGCAUUAGCUAGUUGGUGAGGUAACGGCUCACCAAGGCAACGAUGCGUAGCCGACCUGAGAGGGUGAUCGGCCACACUGGGACUGAGACACGGCCCAGACUCCUACGGGAGGCAGCAGUAGGGAAUCUUCCGCAAUGGACGAAAGUCUGACGGAGCAACGCCGCGUGAGUGAUGAAGGCUUUCGGGUCGUAAAACUCUGUUGUUAGGGAAGAACAAGUGCUAGUUGAAUAAGCUGGCACCUUGACGGUACCUAACCAGAAAGCCACGGCUAACUACGUGCCAGCAGCCGCGGUAAUACGUAGGUGGCAAGCGUUAUCCGGAAUUAUUGGGCGUAAAGCGCGCGCAGGUGGUUUCUUAAGUCUGAUGUGAAAGCCCACGGCUCAACCGUGGAGGGUCAUUGGAAACUGGGAGACUUGAGUGCAGAAGAGGAAAGUGGAAUUCCAUGUGUAGCGGUGAAAUGCGUAGAGAUAUGGAGGAACACCAGUGGCGAAGGCGACUUUCUGGUCUGUAACUGACACUGAGGCGCGAAAGCGUGGGGAGCAAACAGGUAAA
RNAcentral lists this ribosomal RNA (759 nucleotides) under bacterium. Its description in RNAcentral is "bacterial SSU rRNA". It matches the Rfam family "Bacterial small subunit ribosomal RNA", at positions 42 to 780 of the family's 1533-position model. The record is from RNAcentral.